UGGAUAACCUGCCCUGGUAUCUGGGAUAUCAUCUCGAAAGGGGUGCUAAUACCGGAUAAGCCUACGGGAUCUUCGGAUUCUGCAGGAAAAGGUGGCCUCUAUUUAUAAGCUACCGUAUCAUGAUGGGUCCGCGUACCAUUAGCUAGUUGGUGGGGUAAUGGCCUACCAAGGCGACGAUGGUUAGCUGGUCUGAGAGGAUGAUCAGCCACACUGGAA
This 216-nucleotide ribosomal RNA is filed under the name uncultured bacterium. RNAcentral's name for it is "partial 16S ribosomal RNA". It matches the Rfam family "Bacterial small subunit ribosomal RNA", at positions 118 to 318 of the family's 1533-position model. The record is from RNAcentral.